CUUAAAUGUAGAGUGCGAUUUUUUAGAGAUUAGAAAUUCCCUUCGGGGCUUUCUGCAAGGUGCUGCAUGGUUGUCGUCAGCUCGUGCCGUGAGGUGUCGGUUAAGUCCCAUAACGAGCGCAACCCUUAUCGUUAGUUGCCAUCUGGUAAUGCAGGGGACUCUAGCGAAACUGCCACCGUAAGGUGAGAGGAAGGUGGGAUGACGUCAAAUCAGCACGGCCCUUAUGUCCAGGGCUACACACGUGUUACAAUGGUCGGUACAGAGGGCAGCUACCUGGUGACAGGAUGCUAAUCUCGAAAACCGGUCUCAGUUCGGAUCGAAGUCUGCAACUCGACUUCGUGAAGCUGGAUUCGCUAGUAAUCGCGCAUCAGCUAUGGCGCGGUGAAUACGUUCCCAGGCCUU
RNAcentral lists this ribosomal RNA (402 nucleotides) under uncultured Sphingobacteriales bacterium. Its description in RNAcentral is "bacterial SSU rRNA". It matches the Rfam family "Bacterial small subunit ribosomal RNA", at positions 980 to 1382 of the family's 1533-position model. Lineage: Bacteria; Pseudomonadati; Bacteroidota; Sphingobacteriia; Sphingobacteriales. The record is from RNAcentral.